GAUGAACGCUGGCGGCGUGCUUAACACAUGCAAGUCGAACGGGAUCCAUCAGGCUUUGCUUGGUGGUGAGAGUGGCGAACGGGUGAGUAAUGCGUGACCGACCUGCCCCAUACACCGGAAUAGCUCCUGGAAACGGGUGGUAAUGCCGGAUGCUCCAGUUGAUCGCAUGGUCUUCUGGGAAAGCUUUCGCGGUAUGGGAUGGGGUCGCGUCCUAUCAGCUUGACGGCGAGGUAACGGCCCACCGUGGCUUCGACGGGUAGCCGGCCUGAGAGGGCGACCGGCCACAUUGGGACUGAGAUACGGCCCAGACUCCUACGGGAGGCAGCAGUGGGGAAUAUUGCACAAUGGGCGCAAGCCUGAUGCAGCGACGCCGCGUGAGGGAUGGAGGCCUUCGGGUUGUAAACCUCUUUUAUCGGGGAGCAAGCGAGAGUGAGUUACC
RNAcentral lists this ribosomal RNA (439 nucleotides) under uncultured bacterium. RNAcentral's name for it is "bacterial SSU rRNA". It matches the Rfam family "Bacterial small subunit ribosomal RNA", at positions 28 to 479 of the family's 1533-position model. The record is from RNAcentral.